RNAcentral lists this ribosomal RNA (592 nucleotides) under Nocardiopsis sp. 19ISP-2. Its description in RNAcentral is "bacterial SSU rRNA". It matches the Rfam family "Bacterial small subunit ribosomal RNA", at positions 298 to 886 of the family's 1533-position model. Lineage: Bacteria; Bacillati; Actinomycetota; Actinomycetes; Streptosporangiales; Nocardiopsidaceae. The record is from RNAcentral.
GGGCGACCGGCCACACUGGGACUGAGACACGGCCCAGACUCCUACGGGAGGCAGCAGUGGGGAAUAUUGCGCAAUGGGCGAAAGCCUGACGCAGCGACGCCGCGUGGGGGAUGACGGCCUUCGGGUUGUAAACCUCUUUUACCACCAACGCAGGCUCCCAGUUCUCUGGGGGUUGACGGUAGGUGGGGAAUAAGGACCGGCUAACUACGUGCCAGCAGCCGCGGUAAUACGUAGGGUCCGAGCGUUGUCCGGAAUUAUUGGGCGUAAAGAGCUCGUAGGCGGCGUGUCGCGUCUGCUGUGAAAGACCGGGGCUUAACCCCGGUUCUGCAGUGGAUACGGGCAUGCUAGAGGUAGGUAGGGGAGACUGGAAUUCCUGGUGUAGCGGUGAAAUGCGCAGAUAUCAGGAGGAACACCGGUGGCGAAGGCGGGUCUCUGGGCCUUACCUGACGCUGAGGAGCGAAAGCAUGGGGAGCGAACAGGAUUAGAUACCCUGGUAGUCCAUGCCGUAAACGUUGGGCGCUAGGUGUGGGGACUUUCCACGGUUUCCGCGCCGCAGCUAACGCAUUAAGCGCCCCGCCUGGGGGAGUACGGA